Molecule: long non-coding RNA, 1185 nt
Organism: Heterocephalus glaber (naked mole-rat)
Lineage: Eukaryota; Metazoa; Chordata; Mammalia; Rodentia; Bathyergidae
Source: Ensembl
AUGGCCUCGAUAUGCAUCCAAAACUAAAUGACUCUAGUUUUUCGUUCUUUAUGGUUGAGUAGUACUCCAUUUUAUAAAAACACCACAUCUUCUUUAUCCAGUUUCCAGUUGAUGGGCACUUGGGCCACUCAUGUUCCUCUUGAUUAUAGGCUAGCCAGUUAAGCAACUGGUCAGGCUGGAAGUCUGGCAAUAGUGAUACAUAAGGAUUAAUCCCCAGAAGUGGCUGAGCGUUAGCAGGAACACAGCACAGGAGUAGCUGAUGGAAAUCUUGGAAAAGCAGAAUUUCUGGAAACCCAGAGUCUCCCUGGACCAGCCAACAAGAUUCCAUGCCCUCUGCCAUGACCCUCCCUAAUCCAUUUUGCUCAAUUUCCUUUGGGUCCUUUUUUAUGGCCACAAGUUGUCUUAGGACUGCUCUUCUUGCCUUAGACUGUUUCUGGUCAUUUUCCCCAAACUUCUUGUUUGCUCGGGGCUUGGUCCUUCCCAAGCUCAAGGUUACCUUCCGUCUCCCAACGUGCCUCCUCUGUGCCAUGAAUAUGGAGAAACAAGCUCUGUUGGGACCCCACUCACCCUCAUCCAGUGCAUUUCAUUCACCCUUUCAGUGCCUCACUCCCGCCAUGGCUCCCCGGAGCAAUGACAUCCACUCCUGAAGAAUCCGUGGCCCACUUAGGAGGCAGAGUGUCCAGUCUUGUCUGCCCAGGCACCCUGUGCAACCACCUACUCCUGGGCCUGGCCCUUUCCCAUUUUGUUUCUUUUCAUUUUUCUCUUCCCAGGCUAGAGGAUUUUUUUCCCCUCCCAGAAUAACUAAAUUCCUUUGGCUUCUUGUUUGUGGAAGGUAUUCUUGCUGUUAUCACAGAUCUUCUCUCCUUUACUUUUUCCUUUAUGGGAUUAAUAUCCUUUAAGGAUUCAGGCUUUUGAGGAAAAUAAAAACCAAGGAAAAUGUUAGGCUAUUUCUGCUUUACUCCCAGUCACACCCUACUCUUGUUUAAGUUGGGGCCGGGGGGUGCCGUGCAGAAGGUGAACUGUGAGGAAAAGAAAAAAAACUGAAGGAGAAAAAAUUGUCAUACCGUGCAAUACUAUACAGCCAGCUGCACUCAUAAUGGGCAGUCAAAUUCUGCGGUCUAUUCAAAGUUAUUUCCUAUAGUCCUUCCUAAUCGGCCUUGAGAUAGGGGAGGAAAAGAAGACGGG